This is a long non-coding RNA of Lampris incognitus (smalleye Pacific opah), 827 nucleotides long. RefSeq lists it as uncharacterized. Lineage: Eukaryota; Metazoa; Chordata; Actinopteri; Lampriformes; Lampridae. The transcript is spliced from 4 exons. The record is from RefSeq and is a predicted model, not a curated record.
CUUAAAGGUGCACGCAGGUAUUCAGGGCUGACUUAUUGUGUUCAGAUUUGUUCCUCUGCUGUGGGGCAACACAAAGAGCUGUGAAACGGCCACCUGAGAGUAGCUGCAGUCAUGUCCAAGAUCAUAUGUGUGACUCUGGUCUUCCUCAUCCUGGCUCACAUCUGCUGCAGCAACCAAGUCUCAUCUACUGGAUUUCAUCUGGACAGAUCGCACCUUCGCACGUGUCAGCGCAAAGUUUUUCACAGUGGAAAAGUGAAGUGUUGCAACCCGCUGUUGCAAUACUUUAAAAAACCCUACAGAGCAACAGGAUCUCAUCAAAUACAUCUGCCGAAAACCAGAUGAACACAGAGCUUAAGGAGUCCCAGGAUGUUUGCAGACAGAAAGUCAGUGCAAGCGCGCCAAUCACGCAGACACGAACACUGUGACCUGUGCAAGAUGUGACGGGGCUCAAGAGUGAAGAAGACCUCUCUCCCCAACAUCCUCAUAUAAUUCACAUAACCUUACACUCUCUUCAUCACAACACAUUAACUUUAUAUGCAGAUCACUAAAACCUUCCACGUUUCGCUCGCUUAACCAUUUGUGCUCAGUUUGCCUCCAUUUUUCUGUUUUGGUGGACCGCCCAUGAGACACAAGUUGAGUCCAGUACUCCACACAGUACUCCACACAGUACUCCACACAUACGCGUCACAAAUUCUCACGUGUUUGAAAACAUGAAUAUCAUUUAUGCUUUUCAUUCAACUCUUUUUUAUGCAACGGCAAGAUAUGCCCCCCAUAUUACCAUCCAAAUGUAUUCAUAUUCACUCCGAUGGAAAUAAAUAAAGAUACUG